UACGGAGGGUGCAAGCGUUAUCCGGAUUCACUGGGUUUAAAGGGUGCGUAGGUGGGCAGGUAAGUCAGUGGUGAAAUCUCCGGGCUUAACCCGGAAACUGCCGUUGAUACUAUUUGUCUUGAAUAUAGUGGAGGUGAGCGGAAUAUGUCAUGUAGCGGUGAAAUGCGUAGAUAUCUGGAGGAACACCGGUGGCGAAGGCGGCGUCCUGGACCAACACUGACACUGAGGAGCGAAAGCCAGGGGAGCAAACGGG
This 253-nucleotide ribosomal RNA is filed under the name uncultured bacterium. RNAcentral describes it as "partial 16S ribosomal RNA". It matches the Rfam family "Bacterial small subunit ribosomal RNA", at positions 524 to 776 of the family's 1533-position model. The record is from RNAcentral.